This 2165-nucleotide small RNA is filed under the name Histoplasma ohiense. RNAcentral describes it as "hypothetical lncRNA". The record is from RNAcentral. Lineage: Eukaryota; Fungi; Ascomycota; Eurotiomycetes; Onygenales; Ajellomycetaceae.
GGAGGCUAUUCAUGUAGAACCGAUUGUAUACAUAAGUUUUUGAUUAUACUAUGGUCCAAUUUCUCGUUCUCAGUUUUAGUUUCUGAUCUCGCUUUGUUCCUACCGUCAAUAUACAACAAUCUCGCUGGACUUCGAGUUCUCGAACAUGGCCCCAGAUAUCUCCUCCGCCAAAAUCACCCUAUCAUGUCCACUGUUCGGCGUCGAUUUCGACCCUCGGAAUAAUGGCUUUCUUCUUGUAGGCGGCGGCGGAGGGGAGGGGCGUAGCGGCGUCGGAAAUAAAAUCGCCUUGCUAAAUACUUCCCAACGCAACGAGAUAUCCGAAAUAGCCGAUAUUGAACUAUCUCGAGAUGAAGACUCAGUGACCUCCCUAGUGGUAUCGAAGUCAAAUGACAAGUCAAUUAUAGCUCUAGCCGGCAUCAACAGCUCCGUUGCUGAGCAGCAACGGGACAAUAAUGAGCAUCUCAGAUCUUUUCAGCUGGAUUAUCCUCCCGGCCAAGUACCAGCCAUCUCCCCUACGUCACCGGCAAAAUCAAAAAAGGGAGGGAAGAAACAUGUCACGCAGCCUACCAAACCGAUGAUAACUCCUUUAUCACAGGCGUCGCUGUUUAAACCAAAGUAUAAACCUAAGGACAAACGGGAAACGUACCAAAGAUUACUGCGACUUUCGCCGUGGAAAGGAGAGGAGGCUCCCCGUAUUGGUGUGGUAGCUACUGGUUUGGCUCCUCAGGGAGAAAUGGUCUUGUUCAAUGCGACGUCACCAGCUCCAAAGGAAUCUGAUAUUGUAGGUAGGAUUUGGCUGGAGGGUAGAGAUGAGGUUGAAGAUGUGGACAUGUUACCAGCCAGUGAGGGCGACAAUGGGAAAUUCAAGGUGGCAUUUACAGACGGUAUAUCUAUCUAUACAUUGAAAGUUUCUGCUUCGACGAGAUCGAACGAGACUCCGAAAACAAAAGUAGUCUAUACCCUGCCAUUCCCAGAUUAUUUCGCGAGGAGCAAAAAGAGAGGCAAAAUCCGAGCUCUGAGAUUCCUCUCCCCAACAUCCUUUCUCAUCCUACUCAACCUUCCAGACCGAGCUGGCUGCGAACUAGCAAUAAUCUCGCUCGGUCUCGCUCCUGAAGGCACCGUUGUCCGACGAACUAGGCUUCCGCGCGGGAUGAAAAUUGGUCUAGGCCUGGAUGUGUGCCCGCUCUCCGAAUCGGCCAUGGGCACCAGACAAUUCAUAGUCGCAGUAUCGAGCAAUGACAACUCAAUCCAGAUCCUCACGCUCGAAUGCAAACGCAAAGGUAAACCCGCCUUUAGCAAAUUCCGUCCAUACGCCACCCUACGUAAUGUGCAUCCUUUCUCCAUGACGCGCCUUACCUUCUCAACUUUCACCCCGCCCGUCCAACCAGUUUCUGCAGACGUACGACCUCAGGACGUCAAACUCGCCUCCAUAAGUGUCGGUAACACCGUGGUUGUGCACUCUCUCCCUGUCACUGCCUCCCCUCCCAAAUCCCGCCACCCGCGCUACGUGCUUGUCCAACCAGGGCCCUCGGAGCUUCUCCAGACUCUCUUAAGCGGCUUUAUGGCAUUGAUUGUCGUGGCGCUGGGCGCAUUCUUCCUACAAGUCUUCACGGAGAUACGAGGCGGUGUACCACCAGCGCUGGGUGCUCAUGACUGGCUUAGCCCCAGGAUCCGAUCAAUGAUUGCUCGUCCGUAUCUCUUUGAGAACGGUUUAUCGUCUCAAUACCAGAAAUGGCGGUCGCCGACAGAUCCGCUAUCGAUCUCCGCAACGACGACAACGGUGACAACCACAAUAACCACACCGGUCAUGCAAAUAACCCCGACGCAGAUCCUCCGCGAUUUACUUUCGUCGCUUUCACGAGCGGUGCCGGAAGCCACCCCACUCCCUGAAACGCCCGACCAAUCUGCACUGGACCAUAUGAAGAUCGUUAUCCACGAACACCCAGAUGACCCAUCGCUGAUCGCUGUUACAACUCUCCCACAUACAUAUGGCGACGGCGACAGCGACAAGGCCAGCAACGCAGGAGCAGAAAAAGCACAGCAUCCACGCAAAUGGGCAGACUUGCACGAACAUGAGCGUGAAGCGUGGAAAGCGAAACUUAGCGCUGCGGGCCAUUGGGCUAAGGAGGAAGGAGAGGCUAUCUUGAGAGGGUUGCUUUUUGGGC